This 605-nucleotide ribosomal RNA is filed under the name Microbacteriaceae bacteriumRM12EL_02D. RNAcentral describes it as "bacterial SSU rRNA". It matches the Rfam family "Bacterial small subunit ribosomal RNA", at positions 874 to 1477 of the family's 1533-position model. The record is from RNAcentral. Lineage: Bacteria; Bacillati; Actinomycetota; Actinomycetes; Micrococcales; Microbacteriaceae.
UGGGGAGUACGGCCGCAAGGCUAAAACUCAAAGGAAUUGACGGGGGCCCGCACAAGCGGCGGAGCAUGCGGAUUAAUUCGAUGCAACGCGAAGAACCUUACCAAGGCUUGACAUAUACCGGAAACGUCCAGAGAUGGUCGCCCCGCAAGGUCGGUAUACAGGUGGUGCAUGGUUGUCGUCAGCUCGUGUCGUGAGAUGUUGGGUUAAGUCCCGCAACGAGCGCAACCCUCGUUCUAUGUUGCCAGCACGUUAUGGUGGGAACUCAUAGGAGACUGCCGGGGUCAACUCGGAGGAAGGUGGGGAUGACGUCAAAUCAUCAUGCCCCUUAUGUCUUGGGCUUCACGCAUGCUACAAUGGCCGGUACAAAGGGCUGCGAUACCGUAAGGUGGAGCGAAUCCCAAAAAGCCGGUCUCAGUUCGGAUUGAGGUCUGCAACUCGACCUCAUGAAGUCGGAGUCGCUAGUAAUCGCAGAUCAGCAACGCUGCGGUGAAUACGUUCCCGGGCCUUGUACACACCGCCCGUCAAGUCAUGAAAGUCGGUAACACCCGAAGCCAGUGGCCUAACCCCUUGUGGGAUGGAGCUGUCGAAGGUGGGAUUGGUGAUUA